UACUGAAUGGCCUAGUGGGAAAGCAUCUGCCUUAAAUGCAGAAGAUCCUUGGUUCAAUCCCUAGCAUUUCCAGGUAA
This is a non-coding RNA of Podarcis lilfordi (Lilford's wall lizard), 77 nucleotides long. NCBI's taxonomy places the organism in Eukaryota, Metazoa, Chordata, Lepidosauria, Squamata, Lacertidae. The record is from the annotation of a GenBank genome assembly.